This 784-nucleotide unclassified non-coding RNA is filed under the name Hevea brasiliensis (rubber tree). Lineage: Eukaryota; Viridiplantae; Streptophyta; Magnoliopsida; Malpighiales; Euphorbiaceae. The record is from RNAcentral.
CAAACCGAAAUUGCCCGAUGCCCCGAAGGACACCGCAAAGCCGGUCGGCCCGAUCGUGGUUGCGAUCUCGAUCGAUCGGCAGACCUUGAAGCUCUACGACCAGAACGGCCUGUUCGCGGAAUCGCCGGUCUCCACCGGCAUGCGCGGCCAUUCGACUCCGAUGGGCGUGUUCAGCGUCAUCCAGAAGAACAAGUAUCAUCGCUCGAAUAUCUACAGCGGCGCGCCGAUNNNNNNNNNNAUCACCUGGUCAGGCAUCGCGAUGCACGCGGGCGUCCUCCCCGGCUAUCCGGCGUCGCACGGCUGCAUCCGCAUGCCGAUGAAUUUCGCGAUGCGGAUGUGGGGUUGGACCCGUAUGGGCGCGCGCGUGAUCAUCACGCCCGGCGAAGUCUCACCUGCUGAUUUUUCCCAUCCGCUGCUGAUCGCUCGCAAGCCGAGCACAAAACCCGUGGCGGCCACGCCGGAGCCGGAGAAGCACGCAGAGACCACGCCGAAAUCCGACCGGUCGUCGAUUGUCGACGCCGCGNNNNNNNNNNNNNGCGGCUGACCUCGAUCUCUGAAGACGCGCCAGUUCGUACUGCAGAUGCCAGCGGCGCACUCCCGCAAACGAGCGACGCGGACACCGUCGUUGCGCAGGCAUGGGAUGCCAGUCGCGGUGGUGGUUCAUGGGAUGCUGGCCGUGGCGGCGUCACGCCCGAACCCGAGGCGCCCAAGGAAGGCGCCAAGGAGAAUGCCAAAACUCCGUCUUCAAACUCACAGAAAGAUGGCGCCGCAGCCAAGGACGAUG